Non-coding RNA from Larimichthys crocea (large yellow croaker), 54 nucleotides. The record is from Rfam. NCBI's taxonomy places the organism in Eukaryota, Metazoa, Chordata, Actinopteri, Sciaenidae.
UGUUCCCAUCUCUGUAAGUUGCUUUAUAUAAAAGCGUCUGCUAAAUGACUUAAA